ACAUGCAAGUCGAACGGUGCAGCAAUGCAUAGUGGCAGACGGGUGCGUAACGCGUAUGCAACCUACCUUUUAUCGGGGGACAACAUUUCGAAAGAAGUGCUAAUACCGCGUAAGAUAGUAGUGGGACAUCCCACAGCUAUUAAACUUUCGGGGAUAGAAGAUGGGCAUGCGUCUGAUUAGCUAGUUGGCGGGGUAACGGCCCACCAAGGCGACGAUCAGUAGGGGAACUGAGAGGUUGAUCCCCCACACUGGCACUGAGAUACGGGCCAGACUCCUACGGGAGGCAGCAGUAGGGAAUAUUGGGCAAUGGACGGAAGUCUGACCCAGCCACGCCGCGUGCAGGAGGAAGGCGCUCUGCGUUGUAAACUGCUUUAGCAGGGGAAGAAAAGACUCAUGCGUGCAGGAAUUGACGGUACCCUGAGAAUAAGCACCGGCUAACUACGUGCCAGCAGCCGCGGUAAUACGUAGGGUGCAAGCGUUGUCCGGAUUUAUUGGGUUUAAAGGGUGCGUAGGCGGUCUAUUAAGUCAGUGUUUAAAUUUUGCAGCUUAACUGUAGGUAUGGCAUUGAUACUGGAGGACUUGAAUAUCAUGGAGGUAGCUAGAAUUUAUGGUGUAGCGGUGAAAUGCAUAGAUACCAUAAGGAACACCGAUAGCGGAGGCAGGUUGCCACGUGAUGAUUGACGCUGAGGCACGAAAGCGUGGGGAUCAAACAGGAUUAGAUACCCUGGUAGUCCACGCUGUAAACGAUGAUUACUAGAUGCUGGCCGGAUGCGGUCAGUGUUCAAGCGAAAGCGAUAAGUAAUCCACCUGGGGAGUACGUUCGCAAGAAUGAAACUCAAAGGAAUUGACGGGGGUCCGCACAAGCGUGAGCAUGUGGUUUAUUCGAUGAUACGCGAGACCUUACCUGGCUAGAAUGUGAGGUAGGU
This 926-nucleotide ribosomal RNA is filed under the name uncultured Bacteroidota bacterium. Its description in RNAcentral is "bacterial SSU rRNA". It matches the Rfam family "Bacterial small subunit ribosomal RNA", at positions 53 to 996 of the family's 1533-position model. The record is from RNAcentral. Lineage: Bacteria; Pseudomonadati; Bacteroidota.